Molecule: ribosomal RNA, 269 nt
Filed under: uncultured Eubacteriales bacterium
Lineage: Bacteria; Bacillati; Bacillota; Clostridia; Eubacteriales
Description: uncultured Clostridiales bacterium partial 16S ribosomal RNA
Rfam family: Bacterial small subunit ribosomal RNA
Source: RNAcentral
AUUCGUCCAAGUGAAAUAGAGGACAGUGGCGGACGGGUGAGUAACGCGUGGGUAACCUGCCUCGUACUGGGGGAUAACAGUUGGAAACAGCUGCUAAUACCGCAUAAGCUCACAGAGCCACAUGGCUCAGAGAGAAAAACUCCGGUGGUACGAGAUGGACCCGCGUCUGAUUAGCUAGUUGGUGAGGUAACGGCUCACCAAGGCGACGAUCAGUAGCCGGCCUGAGAGGGUGAACGGCCACAUUGGGACUGAGACACGGCCCAAACUCC